This 590-nucleotide unclassified non-coding RNA is filed under the name Hevea brasiliensis (rubber tree). The record is from RNAcentral. Lineage: Eukaryota; Viridiplantae; Streptophyta; Magnoliopsida; Malpighiales; Euphorbiaceae.
GUUGCCUCUGAGACUAGGCUUUUUGCUUGCUACGGCUUCCCUGUGCCCCAUAUGGCAGAGGGAGCUUCCCUUCCGGCCCAGAUCGAGGGUUCCCCCUUCCUACCUCUAGGUUGGGUGUAAAUAUGGUAUCUUUCGUGCAAACUUUUGUCUGCAGAUCUAAGGGAGAGCUUAGGGAGGGACUUUGAAGUGAUCUGCAUGUUCAAAUUGUUAAAGUAUGGGUGGUUUGGAUCGUCGAUGGGAGCUUUCCUCAUGAUGACACAAUUUGGGUAGCCUUGCCGUGGGGGUGUGAUGUCGCCGUAAGGAAUGGUACCUUUGGGGUCUUCUACCGGCCAAGCUGCAGCUGUGAAGUGUAGACCCUUGAAGGCAACAUGCUGAGAGAGUUCUACCAUUCGGCCCUCCACGCGAGCCACAGAGGAGGAAUUGCCUUUUUUGUGUGUUGGGAGGCCUCCUUAAUGUUUUGGAAGGUUGUCCUUGAUGAGUUUGUGAAUGCUUUUUUUGGGCUUUAUUGGGAGUUGACAGACGAAAGGCCGGCUUCUUCUCCCUUCCAAAUGGUGUUUGAAGCAGCAACACUACCGACCGGUGGCUGCAUU